GGAUGUGAGGGUGAUCUGGCUGUGAAUUUUUCACCCAUUGAUUGCCAGGUUUGGUUUGACUGAUCUGACUGGCUAAGCUGGUGUUGCCCUCCUCCCUUACUGCUUCAUGUGUGUCCCUCCUGAAGGUGCAUGCUUGGUCAAAGAGGACGACCAAUCCCUGAUAGAGGAAGACUGUUCUUUGGUGAACAGUAUAUGAGUAGCCUCAUUUCCCUGCUGGAACCUCCAAACAAGCUCUCAAACUAAUUUUUUUAAAAAGACUGGGGGUGUAGCUUAGUGGUAGAGCACUUGCCUAAGUGCUUUCCCAG
This 305-nucleotide small nuclear RNA is filed under the name Castor canadensis (American beaver). Its description in RNAcentral is "7SK RNA (ENSCCNG00000012890.1)". It matches the Rfam family "7SK RNA". From Rfam's summary of the family: 7SK was discovered as an abundant small nuclear RNA in the mid-70s but a possible function has only recently been suggested. The record is from Rfam by way of RNAcentral. Lineage: Eukaryota; Metazoa; Chordata; Mammalia; Rodentia; Castoridae.